UACAGGGGGGGCAAGCGUUGUUCGGAAUUACUGGGCGUAAAGCGCGUGUAGGCGGCUUGGCAAGUCGGGUGUGAAAGCCCUGGGCUCAACCUAGGAAGUGCACUCGAAACUGCCUCGCUGGGGUGCCGGAGAGGAAAGCGGAAUUCUCGGUGUAGAGGUGAAAUUCGUAGAUAUCGAGAGGAACACCGGUGGCGAAGGCGGCUUUCUGGACGGUUACUGACGCUGAGACGCGAAAGCGUGGGGAGCAAACAGG
This 253-nucleotide ribosomal RNA is filed under the name uncultured bacterium. RNAcentral's name for it is "partial 16S ribosomal RNA". It matches the Rfam family "Bacterial small subunit ribosomal RNA", at positions 524 to 776 of the family's 1533-position model. The record is from RNAcentral.